This 640-nucleotide ribosomal RNA is filed under the name uncultured bacterium. RNAcentral describes it as "bacterial SSU rRNA". It matches the Rfam family "Bacterial small subunit ribosomal RNA", at positions 202 to 842 of the family's 1533-position model. The record is from RNAcentral.
GAAAGAUUCAUCGGAAGAGGAUGGGCAUGCGGCGCAUUAGCUAGACGGCGGGGUAACGGCCCACCGUGGCGACGAUGCGUAGGGGUUCUGAGAGGAAGGUCCCCCACACUGGUACUGAGACACGGACCAGACUCCUACGGGAGGCAGCGGUGAGGAAUAUUGGUCAAUGGGAGAGAUCCUGAACCAGCCAAGCCGCGUGAGGGAAGACGGCCCUAUGGGUUGUAAACCUCUUUUGUCGGAGAACAAAACCCGGGACGUGUCCCGGACUGCGUGUAUCCGAAGAAAAAGCAUCGGCUAACUCCGUGCCAGCAGCCGCGGUAAUACGGAGGAUGCGAGCGUUAUCCGGAUUUAUUGGGUUUAAAGGGUGCGUAGGCGGUCCGUUAAGUCAGCGGUAAAAUUGCGGGGCUCAACCCCGUCGAGCCGUUGAAACUGGCAGACUUGAGUUGGCGAGAAGUACGCGGAAUGCGCGGUGUAGCGGUGAAAUGCAUAGAUAUCGCGCAGAACUCCGAUUGCGAAGGCAGCGUACCGGCGCCAGACUGACGCUGAGGCACGAAAGCGUGGGGAUCGAACAGGAUUAGAUACCCUGGUAGUCCACGCAGUAAACGAUGAAUGCUGGUUGUCCGGGUCGAAUGAGAUCUGG